RNAcentral lists this ribosomal RNA (1211 nucleotides) under Actinobaculum massiliense. Its description in RNAcentral is "bacterial SSU rRNA". It matches the Rfam family "Bacterial small subunit ribosomal RNA", at positions 68 to 1275 of the family's 1533-position model. The record is from RNAcentral. Lineage: Bacteria; Bacillati; Actinomycetota; Actinomycetes; Actinomycetales; Actinomycetaceae.
GGAAGGCCCUUCCUUUUUUGGUUGGGUGCUCGAGUGGCGAACGGGUGAGUAUUACGUGAGUAACCUGCCCUCAACUGUGGGAUAAGCCUGGGAAACUGGGUCUAAUACUGCAUAUUCUUCUUUCACCGCAUGGUGGGGGUUGGAAAGUUUUUUCGGUUGGGGAUGGGCUCGCGGCCUAUCAGCUUGUUGGUGGGGUGAUGGCCUACCAAGGCGGUGACGGGUAGCCGGCCUGAGAGGGUGGUCGGCCACAUUGGGACUGAGAUACGGCCCAGACUCCUACGGGAGGCAGCAGUGGGGGAUAUUGCACAAUGGGCGCAAGCCUGAUGCAGCGACGCCGCGUGAGGGAUGAAGGCUUUCGGGUUGUAAACCUCUUUCGGUACAGAACAAGGCACGUUUUUUGCGUGUGGAGGGUAUGUGCAGAAGAAGCGCCGGCUAACUACGUGCCAGCAGCCGCGGUAAUACGUAGGGCGCGAGCGUUGUCCGGAAUUAUUGGGCGUAAAGGGCUCGUAGGCGGCUUGUUGCGCCUGCUGUGAAAACGCGGGGCUUAACUCCGCGCGUGCAGUGGGUACGGGCAGGCUUGAGUGUGGUAGGGGUGACUGGAAUUCCAGGUGUAGCGGUGGAAUGCGCAGAUAUCUGGAGGAACACCGAUGGCGAAGGCAGGUCACUGGGCCAUUACUGACGCUGAGGAGCGAAAGCGUGGGUAGCGAACAGGAUUAGAUACCCUGGUAGUCCACGCUGUAAACGUUGGGAACUAGGUGUGGGGCCCUUUUCCGGGGUUCUGCGCCGUAGCUAACGCAUUAAGUUCCCCGCCUGGGGAGUACGGCCGCAAGGCUAAAACUCAAAGGAAUUGACGGGGGCCCGCACAAGCGGCGGAGCAUGCGGAUUAAUUCGAUGCAACGCGAAGAACCUUACCAAGGCUUGACAUACACCGGGAGCAUGCAGAGAUGUGUGUGCCUUUUUGGCUGGUGUACAGGUGGUGCAUGGUUGUCGUCAGCUCGUGUCGUGAGAUGUUGGGUUAAGUCCCGCAACGAGCGCAACCCUUGUCUCGUGUUGCCAGCGCGUUAUGGUGGGGACUCACGAGAGACUGCCGGGGUUAACUCGGAGGAAGGUGGGGAUGACGUCAAAUCAUCAUGCCCCUUAUGUCUUGGGCUUCACGCAUGCUACAAUGGCCGGUACAGUGGGUUGCGAUACUGUGAGGUGGAGCGAAUCUC